CUUAGUGAUCCGGUGGUUCCGCAUGGAAGGGCCAUCGCUCAACGGAUAAAAGCUACCCCGGGGAUAACAGGCUUAUCUCCCCCAAGAGUUCACAUCGACGGGGAGGUUUGGCACCUCGAUGUCGGCUCAUCGCAUCCUGGGGCUGUAGUCGGUCCCAAGGGUUGGGCUGUUCGCCCAUUAAAGCGGUACGCGAGCUGGGUUCAGACGUCGUGAGACAGUUCGGUCCCUAUCCGUCGUGGGCGUAGGAAAUUUGAGAGGAGCUGUCCUUAGUACGAGAGGACCGGGAUGGACAUACCUCUGGUGUACCAGUUGUCGUGCCAACGGCAUAGCUGGGUAGCUAUGUGUGGACGGGAUAAGUGCUGAAAGCAUCUAAGCAUGAAGCCCCCCUCAAGAUGAGAUUUCCCAACUUCGGUUAUAAGAUCCCUCAAAGAUGAUGAGGUUAAUAGGUUCGAGGUGGAAGCAUGGUGACAUGUGGAGCUGACGAAUACUAAUCGAUCGAAGACUUAAUCAAAA
RNAcentral lists this ribosomal RNA (513 nucleotides) under Staphylococcus aureus. RNAcentral describes it as "bacterial LSU rRNA". It matches the Rfam family "Bacterial large subunit ribosomal RNA", at positions 2411 to 2925 of the family's 2925-position model. Lineage: Bacteria; Bacillati; Bacillota; Bacilli; Caryophanales; Staphylococcaceae. The record is from RNAcentral.